AUAUCGUGUCUUAAGUCAUAGAGUUUGUCUUAGGAUGUGAAAAAUGUAUUUUUAUUUUUAUUGGAUCGAUCAUGCAGAAGAUUGUUGUUUGGUGAUUGCAAUAAUCUUCUUAUUUUAGUUUUUGGAUGAGUAUUGUAAUAUUUUUAUAUUUUGUCACGAAAUCGCCAAAGGGGGAGAUUGUUAAGGAUUUUAUUAAGUUGGCGACUUUCGUGAAGUUUUGGACGGAGUCUCGAAGAGUUGGAAGACGAAGGUUGAAGAAAGAAUUGGAGUUUGGCGAUGU
RNAcentral lists this long non-coding RNA (280 nucleotides) under Ananas comosus (pineapple). RNAcentral describes it as "long non-coding RNA (ACOM_LNC040058)". The record is from RNAcentral. Lineage: Eukaryota; Viridiplantae; Streptophyta; Magnoliopsida; Poales; Bromeliaceae.